AGUGAACGUUGGCGGCGUGGAUUAGGCAUGCAAGUCGUGCGGAAAGGCCCCGCAAGGGGUACUCGAGCGGCGUAAGGGAUAGUAACACGUGGGUCACCUACCCCCGGGACUGGGAUAGCUGCGGGAAACUGCAGGUAAUACCGGAUAACGUCUCCGGACCAAAGGUGUGAUUCCGCCCGGGGAGGGGCCCGCGUCCUAUUAGCUAGUUGGCAGGGUAACGGCCUACCAAGGCUAAGAUGGGUAGGGGGUGUGAGAGCAUGACCCCCAUCACUGGGACUGAGACACUGCCCAGACACCUACGGGUGGCUGCAGUCGAGAAUCUUCGGCAAUGGGCGCAAGCCUGACCGAGCGACGCCGCGUGCGGGAUGAAGGCCCUCGGGUUGUAAACCGCUGUCAGAGGGAUGGAAAUGCUGGGGGGUUCUCCCUUCAGUUUGACUGACCCUCAGAGGAAGUACGGGCUAAGUUCGUGCCAGCCGCCGCGGUAA
This 485-nucleotide ribosomal RNA is filed under the name uncultured bacterium. Its description in RNAcentral is "partial 16S ribosomal RNA". It matches the Rfam family "Bacterial small subunit ribosomal RNA", at positions 28 to 523 of the family's 1533-position model. The record is from RNAcentral.